This 731-nucleotide ribosomal RNA is filed under the name uncultured bacterium. RNAcentral describes it as "bacterial SSU rRNA". It matches the Rfam family "Bacterial small subunit ribosomal RNA", at positions 94 to 820 of the family's 1533-position model. The record is from RNAcentral.
AGCGGCGGACGGGUGAGUAAUGCUUAGGAAUCUGCCUAUUAGUGGGGGACAACAUUCCGAAAGGGAUGCUAAUACCGCAUACGUCCUACGGGAGAAAGCAGGGGAUCUUCGGACCUUGCGCUAAUAGAUGAGCCUAAGUCGGAUUAGCUAGUUGGUGGGGUAAAGGCCUACCAAGGCGACGAUCUGUAGCGGGUCUGAGAGGAUGAUCCGCCACACUGGGACUGAGACACGGCCCAGACUCCUACGGGAGGCAGCAGUGGGGAAUAUUGGACAAUGGGGGGAACCCUGAUCCAGCCAUGCCGCGUGUGUGAAGAAGGCCUUAUGGUUGUAAAGCACUUUAAGCGAGGAGGAGGCUACUGAGACUAAUACUCUUGGAUAGUGGACGUUACUCGCAGAAUAAGCACCGGCUAACUCUGUGCCAGCAGCCGCGGUAAUACAGAGGGUGCGAGCGUUAAUCGGAUUUACUGGGCGUAAAGCGUGCGUAGGCGGCUUUUUAAGUCGGAUGUGAAAUCCCCGAGCUUAACUUGGGAAUUGCAUUCGAUACUGGGAAGCUAGAGUAUGGGAGAGGAUGGUAGAAUUCCAGGUGUAGCGGUGAAAUGCGUAGAGAUCUGGAGGAAUACCGAUGGCGAAGGCAGCCAUCUGGCCUAAUACUGACGCUGAGGUACGAAAGCAUGGGGAGCAAACAGGAUUAGAUACCCUGGUAGUCCAUGCCGUAAACGAUGUCUACUAGC